UGAGUAACGCGUGGGUAACCUACCCCAAAGUCCGGGAUAACAGCGGGAAACCGCUGCUAAUACCGGAUGCCUUUACCUUGGGGCAUCUUGAGGUAAAGAAAGGUAACGCUUUGGGAUGGGCCCGCGUCCCAUUAGCUAGUUGGUGAGGUAACGGCUCACCAAGGCGACGAUGGGUAGCCGGCCUGAGAGGGUGGACGGCCACACUGGGACUGAGACACGGCCCAGACUCCUACGGGAGGCAGCAGUAGGGAAUAUUGCGCAAUGGACGGAAGUCUGACGCAGCGACGCCGCGUGAGCGAUGAAGGUCUUCGGAUCGUAAAGCUCUGUCCUUGGGGAAGAAGGCGAAAGCUUGACGGUACCCAAGAAGAAAGCCCCGGCUAACUACGUGCCAGCAGCCGCGGUAAUACGUAGGGGGCGAGCGUUGUCCGGAAUUACUGGGCGUAAAGGGUGCGUAGGCGGCCCUUUAAGUCGGAUGCGAA
RNAcentral lists this ribosomal RNA (479 nucleotides) under uncultured bacterium. Its description in RNAcentral is "bacterial SSU rRNA". It matches the Rfam family "Bacterial small subunit ribosomal RNA", at positions 107 to 598 of the family's 1533-position model. The record is from RNAcentral.